Molecule: long non-coding RNA, 1070 nt
Filed under: Helianthus annuus (common sunflower)
Lineage: Eukaryota; Viridiplantae; Streptophyta; Magnoliopsida; Asterales; Asteraceae
Source: RNAcentral
UUAAAAAUUGAAAAAUAAAGGUUUCCUGUUGGUGAAGCUCUUUGAUUAUAGUGGUGCCUCCGUACCUCAUCUUGAUAACACACCCAUUCAUUCAUUCUAAAAACCACACAUACACAAAAGGACUACAGUACGUAGAUGAUGAGGUUUCUUUCACAACCAUAAAAUCAGAUUCAAAUGGGUCGAGUUUUCUCCAAACACCAAAUGAUAAACACAAGAAUGUAGCAUAGUUAGUUAGUUUAGAAACAUGAAGCAGUUGACAAGAAUCUGUAAUAAGAUUACAAAAUCCAGUGUUUUAAUCAAUCUAGUUUGUUGGCUCUUUUGAUUUGCCAAAGUACAAAUCUUAGCCUUUAAACAUGGGAGGAGUGUUGUAAGUUGAGGUCAAUUGAUCUGGUUAGUUGCAAGGUUGUUAAGACACCACCUCCAUCAUAACAUCAUUCUCCUUGCUUAUGCAACCUGAUGGAGGGAUAUGGUCUCGUCUCAUGGUACCAAAAUGGAAGUCUAUAACGACCUUGGAACUAGCCGGAUCAAUUGGCCUCCACGUACACAAUGAAUCAACUGGCUGGAGUCCAUAAGCAAUCAAGUUAUCACUACACAGGCAAUUCGGGAUGUUUUCCAUGAAACAUUUCCGUAGAGGACCUGUCGGAACAGGUUUGAUAACUUUUGUGCUGUUCACGAAAAAUUUUUUUGAACAGCACCCUAGUUUUUUUUUUUUUUUUUUUCCUGCAGCUAACACUCUUAAAUGCAUAAUGCAUUUACUAUCUCGGCUAGUCGGCUUUGAAUAUAACUCUAUAUGAUUUAAAUGUUUUUAUCUGACUGGCCAUGCAGCAAGCAGCAAAAGGAUUGUGGCAUCACAGGUGCAAUGGGGCCUAGUCUCCUAGUAUUGUAGCGUGACCGACACAUCGUUCGAUUGUGCUAGUUCGAGUGUCAAUGGAUAUGUUUGGCGCAGGGCUCUUAAAGCUUAUGCUCUCGUUUUUGAAAAGAAGCACUUUUAAAAAACAAAGCCUUGUUUGGAUAAUAGUUUUAGCUAUUUUAUAAAAAUGCAUGCCCAACAAAAUAAGCUACUCAAGUCU